ACUCCUGCGGGAGGCAGCAGUGGGGAAUUUUGGACAAUGGGCGAAAGCCUGAUCCAGCAAUGCCGCGUGUGUGAAGAAGGCCUUCGGGUUGUAAAGCACUUUUGUCCGGAAAGAAAUCCUUGGCUCUAAUACAGUCGGGGGAUGACGGUACCGGAAGAAUAAGCACCGGCUAACUACGUGCCAGCAGCCGCGGUAAUACGUAGGGUGCGAGCGUUAAUCGGAAUUACUGGGCGUAAAGCGUGCGCAGGCGGUUUGCUAAGACCGAUGUGAAAUCCCCGGGCUCAACCUGGGAACUGCAUUGGUGACUGGCAGGCUAGAGUAUGGCAGAGGGGGGUAGAAUUCCACGUGUAGCAGUGAAAUGCGUAGAGAUGUGGAGGAAUACCGAUGGCGAAGGCAGCCCCCUGGGCCAAUACUGACGCUCAUGCACGAAAGCGUGGGGAGCAAACAGGAUUAGAAACCCCAGUAGUCCCA
Molecule: ribosomal RNA, 471 nt
Filed under: uncultured organism
Description: partial 16S ribosomal RNA
Rfam family: Bacterial small subunit ribosomal RNA
Source: RNAcentral